Molecule: ribosomal RNA, 328 nt
Filed under: uncultured Thermoplasmatales archaeon
Lineage: Archaea; Methanobacteriati; Thermoplasmatota; Thermoplasmata; Thermoplasmatales
Description: bacterial SSU rRNA
Rfam family: Archaeal small subunit ribosomal RNA
Source: RNAcentral
AGUCCAGCUGUAACGAUGCGGGCUAGGUGUUGGAGUGGCUACGAGCCGCUCCAGUGCCGCAGGGAAGCCGUUAAGCCCGCCGCCUGGGGAGUACGGCCGCAAGGCUGAAACUUAAAGGAAUUGGCGGGGGAGCACCACAAGGGGUGAAGCUUGCGGUUUAAUUGGAGUCAACGCCGGAAACCUUACCGGGGGCGACAGCAGAAUGAAGGCCAGAUUGAAGGUCUUGCUGGACUAGCUGAGAGGAGGUGCAUGGCCGUCGCCAGUUCGUGCCGUGAGGUGUCCUGUUAAGUCAGGCAACGAUCGAGACCCGCACCCCCAGUUGCCACCG